UGGUCUUGACAUGUCGAGAAUCCCGAAGAGAUUUGGGAGUGCCGCAAGGAACUCGAACACAGGUGCUGCAUGGCUGUCGUCAGCUCGUGUCGUGAGAUGUUGGGUUAAGUCCCGCAACGAGCGCAACCCUUGUCCUUAGUUGCCAGCAUUAAGUUGGGCACUCUAAGGAGACCGCCGGUGACAAACCGGAGGAAGGUGGGGAUGACGUCAAGUCAUCAUGGCCUUUAUGACCAGGGCUACACACGUGCUACAAUGGUAAGUACAGAGGGAAGCCAACUCGCGAGAGGGAGCCAAUCCCAGAAAACUUAUCGUAGUCCGGAUCGGAGUCUGCAACUCGACUCCGUGAAGUCGGAAUCGCUAGUAAUCGCAGAUCAGCAUUGCUGCGGUGAAUACGUUCCCGGGUC
RNAcentral lists this ribosomal RNA (404 nucleotides) under uncultured bacterium. RNAcentral describes it as "bacterial SSU rRNA". It matches the Rfam family "Bacterial small subunit ribosomal RNA", at positions 976 to 1380 of the family's 1533-position model. The record is from RNAcentral.